UACGGAGGGUGCAAGCGUUAUCCGGAUUCACUGGGUUUAAAGGGAGCGUAGGUGGCUUUGUAAGUCAGUGGUGAAAUCUUAGAGCUCAACUCUAAAACUGCCAUUGAUACUGCUUAGCUUGAAUCACGUCGAGGUGGAUGGAAUAUUACAUGUAGCGGUGAAAUGCGUAGAUAUGUGGAAGAACACCUGUGGCGAAAGCGGUUUUCCAAUUUACACCUGACGCUGAGGCGCGAAAGCAAGGGGAUCAAACAGG
RNAcentral lists this ribosomal RNA (253 nucleotides) under uncultured bacterium. RNAcentral describes it as "partial 16S ribosomal RNA". It matches the Rfam family "Bacterial small subunit ribosomal RNA", at positions 524 to 776 of the family's 1533-position model. The record is from RNAcentral.